GAGUUUGAUCUUGGCUCAGGAUGAACGCUAGCGGCAGGCUUAACACAUGCAAGUCGAGGGGCAGCAAGGGUAGCAAUACCUGUUGGCGACCGGCAAACGGGUGCGGAACACGUACGCAAUUUACCUUUAUCUGGGGGAUAGCCCGAAGAAAUUCGGAUUAACACCCCAUAAUAUAUAGAAGUGGCAUCACUUAGAUAUUAAAACUCCGGUGGAUAAAGAUGAGCGUGCGUCCCAUUAGCUAGUUGGUAGGGUAACGGCCUACCAAGGCGACGAUGGGUAGCUGGUGUGAGAGCACGACCAGCCACACGGGCACUGAGACACGGGCCCGACUCCUACGGGAGGCAGCAGUGGGGAAUAUUGGACAAUGGGCGCAAGCCUGAUCCAGCCAUACCGCGUGGGUGAAGAAGGCCUCGGUUG
RNAcentral lists this ribosomal RNA (417 nucleotides) under uncultured Sphingobacterium sp. Its description in RNAcentral is "bacterial SSU rRNA". It matches the Rfam family "Bacterial small subunit ribosomal RNA", at positions 9 to 425 of the family's 1533-position model. The record is from RNAcentral. Lineage: Bacteria; Pseudomonadati; Bacteroidota; Sphingobacteriia; Sphingobacteriales; Sphingobacteriaceae.